GCUCCAGAUGUUGCUGAACUAUAACUCCCACCAUCCCUUACCAUUGGCCAAGCUGGCUGGGGCUAAUGGGAGUUGCAGUUCAGCAACAUCUGGAGGGUCA
This is a non-coding RNA of Podarcis lilfordi (Lilford's wall lizard), 100 nucleotides long. The record is from the annotation of a GenBank genome assembly. NCBI's taxonomy places the organism in Eukaryota, Metazoa, Chordata, Lepidosauria, Squamata, Lacertidae.